UUCUUUUUAAAAAGGGGAAACACCUUUACUCAUUUGGGAGAGGGACACGGACCAUGUUCUGAGGAGCACGUGAGACCCAUGACUACUCUCUCAUAUUUGGUCAGAUUUAGAAAAGGGGAGAUCUUCUCCAUUCUGAGGGGGGAGAAAACGGAUAGGAGCUCAUAAGAAAAAGGGGGAAAGCUUUUGAAGAAACGAAGCAAAACGACCCUUCCCUUACGUCCAAAAACCAACUAAAAACCAUUAUUCUCCAUAACCCCAUCACCGACCAAGCAACGACGUGACCGUCGUCCACCCCGCCUCCCAGCUCGCUGGAGCAAGCAGUCUGCCCAUCUCCGUCAGCUUCACAUCCCAAACAACCACGCUGCCCAGCUCGUCCCUCACGUUGCUGCACCAGCUUCCUCCGUCGACUUCCACCAGUUCUGCUCUGACGAGCAGCUGCUGCUGCAUCUUCGUCCUCCAAACGACCACCCGUUCUUCUCCUCAUUGCCACUGAUCAUCCUCGCCAUAGCUGGCUGGAGUUUGAAAAAACAGUAACGAUUGGCGGAGGCCAAGCGAGGCAGUCCGGUAAAAAUUCGACGAGGUUCCGUCAAGGUUGCCUUUCGAAGUCUACGGCCGCGUUUUGUUGCUGGUACUGUCUUCGUUAAUCGGUUCAAUGGAUUUUUAAUAGUGAGGUCAGUUAUUAUACCUUAUCUCUCUGAUUUUACUACUCUCACUAUGUCCAUCCAUGGCUUGUUUGAAAUAAAUUUUUGUGGUCCUAUUUAAAAAUAUGGAUAUGAAAUUACAUGUGUUGAAUAUGAUAUUUGUUGUUGAGUAUUUGUUGUUGAAUAUGAUAUUUGUGAUUGAGUAUUUGUUGUUGAAUAUGAUAUUUGUUGUUAAUUUUACUACUCUCGUCAUAUAGUUUGGAAUGAUUCGGUGAUAAUACUCAAGUUGGUUUAAUUACUGUUGAAGCUUUGAGUAUAAGUCUAUUAUGUCUGGUGUUUUAAAUAAAUUGGCUUGGAGACAAAUAAUAUAGAAAAUUGUAGUCACUUUAGGAUUGUUCUUUUAAAAUAAACGAGAUGAGUCUCGCAACAUAAAAUGCACAGAUUGCGGGACCCUCAGAAAUGUAUAUAUUAAAAAUACUUAGACUUCGGGAUGAGCCGUUUAGCGAAUUGCAUGGUCUUCUCCAAAAUAAUAACGUGUUAUUCUUUAGGCGCAUAUUUAAUAAUGUUAUCUCUCUAAAUUCGGGUGCACAUUUAUGUAACCCAAGUCCAAAUCUCAACGAAGUUGGAGCGUGUCGUGAACCACGGGUGCCAUGGCUUGAGAUGUUUUAAAUAACCGUAAAUUUUCUCGAAAUGUUAAAAGCCAUUAAAAUAAUAACACCAUUUUUGCUUUAACUUUAACUUUUGCUUUAAUUUUAAGUUUUGCUUUAACUUUAACUUUAACUCUUCCUUUAACUUUUGCUUUAACUUUCAGUUUUACUUUAACUUUUGCUUUUGCAUUAACUUUCCAUUUAAGCUUUAGCUGUAACUUUCCCUUUUGGCUUUAACUUUAGUUUAAACAAAUGUACAACAUGUUUUAAAAUCGGAUAAAUAAGUCGAAUAUGACAGUUGUGCGACCGUGCUAGAACCAUAGAACUCGAGAAUGCCUAACACCUUCUCCCGGUUAGCAUAAUUCAUUAUCCGAGUUUCUAGUUCGCGGAUUGUAAUACAGAGUCAAUCUUUUUCGCGGACUGUAAUAUAGAGUCAAUCUUUUCCUUGAUUCUGGAUUUAACCGGUGACUUGGGAUACCAUAAAUCUGUAAAGUGGCGACUCUGACUUUAAUAAUAAUCCUGUUUCGAUUGUCCUUUAAUUGGAAAAACUCCCUUAACCUCUUCGCCCCAGCGGCGCGGGUAAAAAGGAGGUGUGACAAUGAAGACAAACAAUCUCCUGGAUAUAGAUCUCAGCUAACCUCUCGGAUGAAUAAGAGACUGUCACAUGAAUGAAAUGCACUGAUUUGUUCAGCCUAUAAAAAAUGACACAUACUGCAUCGAACUUCUUCCGAGUUUGUGGGGGUCCAACAACGAAAUCCAUAGUAACCCUCUCUUAAUUCCACUCGGUUAGCUCAAUCCUCUGAAAUAAACUACCAGGCCUCUGAUGCUCAUACUUAACCUGUUGAUAAUUCAAACACUGAGUCACAUAUGCAACAAUGUCCUUCUUCAUUCUACGCCACCAAUAAUGCUGCUACUAAUCUUGAUACAUCUUUGCGGUACCCAGAUGAAUAGAGUAGAGUACCGGGAACUGUGGGCCUCCUCUAAGAUCAACUCUCGGAGUCCAUCUACAUUAGGCACACAAACUCGACUCUGCAAUCUCAAAAGUCCAUCAUCAUCUAAGGUAACCUUCUUGGCACCUCCACGUCGCACCGUGUCUCUAAGGAUACACAAAUGGGGAUUAUCAUACUGUCGAUCACGUAUGCACUCCAAUAACGAAGAACAAGCGACUGUGCAAUCUAGCACACAGUUGGGCUCAGAGACAUCCAACCUCACAGACUGAUUGGCCAAAGCCUGAACAUCCAAAGCAAGUGGUCUCUCACUGAUCGGAGUAUAAGCAAGCUACCCAUAGUGGUUGACUUCCUACUCAAUGUAUCGACCACCACAUUAGCCUUUCCCUGAUGAUAUAAGAUAGUGAUAUCAUAAUCAUUCAACAACUCCAACCACCUCCUCUGUCUCAAAUUCAACUCAUUUUUCUGAAACAAAUAAUGAAGACUCUUGUGAUCCGUGUACACCUCACAUGCCACGCCAUACAGAUAUUGUCUCCAAAUCUUCAAUGCGUGAACAAUGGAUGCCAACUCUAAAUCAUGAACUGAGUAGUUCUUCUCAUGAAUAUUCAAUUGGCGCAAGGCAUAAGAAAUGACCUUGCCAUUCUGCAUCAACACUGCACCAAGUCCAAUAUGAGAUGCAUCACAAUAGACUAUAUAAGGCCCUGAACCUGUGGGCAAAACCAACACUGAUGAUAUAGUCAGAGCUGUCUUGAGCUUCUAAAUGCUCACCUCACAUCAUCUGACCAUCUGAACUGGGCGCCCUUCUGGGUCAGCAUGGCCAUCGGGGCUGCAAUGGAUGAAAACCCCUAUACGAACUGACGAUAGUAGCCUAUCAAUCCCAAGAAACUCUGAAGCUCUAUAGCUGAUGCUGGUUCGGGCCAGUUCUUGACUACAUCAAUCUUCUUGAGAUCAACCUGAAUACCCUCUGCGGAUACAACAUGACCUAGAAAUGCAACUGAACUCAACCAGAACUCACACUUCGAGAACUUAGAAUAUAACUGACUAUCCCUCAAAUUCCGAAGAACCACUCUGUGAUGUUGCUCGUGCUCCUCUAGCUGGGGGAGUAUAUCAAAAUAUCAUCAAUGAAGACUAUCACGAAUGAGUCCAAAUAAGUCAUGAACACUCGGUUCAACAAAUCCAUAAAAGUUGAUGGGGCAUUCAUCAACCCGAAUGACAUUACCAAGAACUCAUAAUGCUUGUACCGAGUGUGGAAAGUUGUCUUAGGAACAUCAGAUGCUCUAAUCCUCAGCUGAUGGUAGCCAGAUCUCAAAUCAAUCUUUGAAAAUACCUUGGCACCCUGAAGCUUUCAAACAGAUCAUCAGUCUUCAACAAUGGAUACUUAUUCUUGAUUGUAACUUUGUUCAACUGCCAAUAAUCAAUACACAUCCUCAUCGAUCCAUCUUUUUCCUUGACAAAUAACACUGGUGCACCCCAUGAAACGUUGAGUCUAGAGAAACCCAUCUUAAGAAAGUCUUGCAAUUGUUCCUUCAACUCUUUCAACUAAAGUUGGGCCAUACGAUAUAGUGGGAUAUAAAAGGGCUGAGUGCCUGAAGCCAAAUUAAUGCAAAAGUCAAUAUCCCUGUCGAAUAGCAUACCCGGUAGGUCUCAAGGGAAUACCUCAGGAAACUCACGAACAACGGGCACAGAAUCAAUAGAGGGAACUUCAACACUAGAAUCACGAACAUAUGCUAAAUAGGCCAAACACCCCUUCUCGACCAUACGUCAAUCCUUCACAUAAGAGAUAAAACUACAGGUAGAAUGACCAGGAGUCUCUCUCCACUCUAAACAAGGCAUAACCGGUAAAGCUAAGGUCACAUUCUUUCCAUGAGAGUCCAAGAUAGCGUGGUAAGGUGAUGAUCAGUCCAUCCCCAAUAUAACAUCAAAAUCAACCAUGUCUAGAAGCAAUAAAUCCACACAAGUCUCAAGAACCCCAAUCACCAGCAUACAAGAACAAUGGACUCGAUAUACCACAAUAGAAUUAAUCACCGGUGUAGACACGUAAAUGGGAACACUCAAUAAAUCACUAGGCAUAACCAGAUAUGGUGCAAAAUAAGAUAGCACAUACAAGUAGGUAUACCCUAGAUCAAAUAACAAUGAAGCAUCUCUAUCAGAAACCAGAAUAGUACAUGUGAUAAUCGCAUCUGAAGCCUCAGGCUGGGGCCUGGCUAGAAGAGCAUAACAUUGGGGUUGGGCCCCACCACCCUGGACUACUUCCCUGGGACGACCUGCACCUGGCUGGCCUCCAUCCCUACCGUCCUAAGAUCCACAUCUAAAUCCUCUACCUCCACUUCUUGCACCUCUACCCCUAUCUCUAGAUGGUUGGGUGGUUUGUGGAACAGCCGGUGCCUGAACCAUAUAGCGGGAGCCAUGCUGCUGCGACUUAGUACCUACUAACCUCGGACAAGUCCUCCUAAUAUGACUAUACUCACCACACUCAAAACAUCCACCUGAGUGUUGUGGCUGAGGAAAUUGAGACUGACCCUGGCGACCCGAAUGAACAUCCCGAAAACUCUGGAGCGGCGAUGCACUAAUGGGAGCUGGUAGUGCACUAUAGGAUUGCUGAUCAGAAUACUGUAUUUGCGGACCACAGCUACCUCAAGCACCGGGAGAAACAUAAAGAGCUGACUGAAAGAGCCUAGGAGGAUGUCCUCUACCAUAUAAAUCUCUGCCUCUAGACGAGGUACCACUGAAUCUACCCGAAUGACGGAGCCUCUUAUUCGACCCAUGACCACCUCCCUAUGACAGAACCAUCUCCACUCUCUUGGCCAUAUUGGCCUCCUCCUAAAAUGUAAUCUCACUCCCAUCAUCCCUAGCCAUAUAAAGAUGAAUCGGCUGAAUAAGACCAUUAAUAAAUCACCUGACCCUAUCUCUAUUGGUAGGAAGGAUGACAAGGGCAUGGCGAGCCAAGUCGAUGAAUCUGGUCUCAUACUGAGUAACAGUCAUGGAACCCCGCUGGAGACACUCAAACUGCCUCUGGUAGGCCUCUCUCUGAGUAAUGGGAAGAAAGGAUUCCAGAAACAACACUCUAAACUGCUCCCAAGUCAAUGAUGGUGAUACUGCUGGCCUAGACAAGCAACAAUCUCUUCACCAACUCUUGGCGGAUCCAGACAAGCGAAAUGUAGCAAAAUCGACCACAUUGGUCUCAACAAUACCCAUGUUACAGAGAACCUCGUGGAAGUUGUGUAGAUAAUCCUGGGGAUACUCAGUAGAUGCACUGCUGAAAGUAGAAGUGAAGAGCUCGGUGAACCUAUCCAACCUCCACAAAGCAUCGGCAGCAUAGCUACUCCAUCAUCGGUCAGAGCUACCACACCUGGCUGAACUAAUCAAACUAACAAAAUUGUUGGAGUCUGAAUCUAGGGAGCUACCUGCUCCGGAGUGUGAGUAGCAGCAGUCUGGGGCCCUUCUCCAGCCUAAGAGAUGGCUGGUGCUACAAGAAGCAAGCUUGCUCGGGUGACACUCUCCAUGAGGCCUACUAAUCGAACCACAGCAUCCUGAAGAACUAGGGUAGCAAUAAACCCUUAUGGGACCUGAGCUAGGCCCACAGGAACUGUUGGGGCCAGAACCUCCUCAUCAAAAUCAACCUAAGCCUCCGUUACUGAUACUGUUGCUCGGAGCUGAGCUCUGUCCCUACCUGGGCCUCGGCCUCGCCCUCUACCCCUCAUGGGAGCUGCUUCUGGGGGCUCGGGUAGCUGAGCGAUAGAUAAGGAAGCGCGUGUUCUCGCCAUCUGCGAAAGAACAGAGUAGAAAUUCAACUAGCAUUGAGAAACAAAACCGUACGACAGGAAGGGACAAAUGUGAAGUUUUCCUAACUCUGUAGCCUCUAGGUAUAAAUACAUAUGUCUUCUUACCAAUCCCUCAGACUCUACUGAGAUUGACCGUGAAUUGUGAGACCUAUGUAACCUAGAGCUCUGAUACCAACUUGUCACGAUCCGAAUUUUCCCACCUUCAGGAGUCGUGAUGGUGCGUAGUCAUAGAAUCUAGGCAAGCCACGAAAUUAGGAAUCUUUAACUCUUUUGUUUUAAUAUUUUUUACUACUUAUAUGUCAUGACCCAAACCGAUGGGCCACAGCAGGCAUCCGGUACCUUACUCGAUCGAGUACCAACAUAACGUAUCUUUCUUAUUAUAUACACGUGACAUACGGGCCUAAUAGGCCAACAUAAUUAUUUAUAAAUCCAAACUUAGGCCGACAAGGCCGUACAAUCGUUCACGUAUGCAAAAUAUGUCUACAAGCCUCUAAGAAUACAUAAAUGUCAUAAAGGUUGAGAUAGAUUCCCGCCAUACCAAACAAUACACGUCUACAUCAUACUAGUCAAACAAGCAACUGCGAAACAAAUGGAGCGCACCAACAUCUUCCACUGAGAUGAUAGCCUACUUGGAGGGCUCUCUACCUUUCUAUCGGGACUUGCGGGCAUGAAACGCAGUGUCCCUAGGUAAAAGGGACAUCAGUACAAAUAAUGUACUGAGUAUGCAAGGCACAUAAGUAAGUACAUAAGAGAUAUGGAAUAAAUAUAGAGUACAUUACUCAACCUGUAAUUAUGAAUAACUUUGUAAAUCAUAAAUUACUUAUAGCGUCAUGCAUAUGCGUAUGAAUGUCAUGUCGUCUAUAGGUACAUGUUUUAUAACAUCAUCAGCCUCUGAGGGCAUCCCAUCAUAUCAUAUCGGGCACUGUGGGCAAAAUCAUCAUCGUAUACCAGCUGAUCAGGUGGUGGUGCGUAUAUAACGCCAUAACUUUUCCCAUGUCACAUAUAAAUAUAUACCAGCUGAUCAGGUGGUGGUCGGUAUAUAACGUCAUACCCUUUUCCCAUAUCCCGUAUGUAUGUAUGUAUGUAUAUAUAUAUAUAUAUACGUGAAUAUAACUUCGUCUGAGUCAUGGGUCAAUGUACAUGUAUAAAUACAUGAAAUGCAUAUGAAAUACGAUAACAAAAUCUCUCGGUACAUCAUAAGACCAUUAUACCUCUAAUUAAUAUCAUAAAGUCAUUUUACGUAUUUUCUGAGACACAUGAACAUACGAUGACAUAAUAAGACAUAUGGAGAUUCAAGAACAUAGGUACUUCUAAUACUUCUAGGAAUAGAGUCAUUUAUGGAAUUUGUGCAUUUGCACAUUUCGUUCGCAUCGUAUGGAUCAUGCCAAAAGGAAGAAGGGAUAGCCUUAACAUACCUGAACCGAUUCUCCUAUCAAUCCCGUUAACACCCGUUGAUUGUGACAACACAUAAUGUCGGAUCGAAGUAGGGGAAAAUCCAUGAAAGCUUACAUUACUGAAUUCUCGAAAUUCAUGAAAUCGUACGUUACUGAAUUCUUGAAAGCUUACAUUAUUGAAUCAUUGAAAUUCACGUUUUUGAAGAAUAAAAUCUGAAAGCUCACUAAUUUAACCUCGCAUUUUUUGAAGAAUGAAAUCUGAGAGCUCACUAAUGUAACCUCACGUUUUUUUAAUGUUCUGAUUGUAAUAGUGGAAGACUUUGUAAGAAGUCUCCUUUUAGCUAAUGACUAAUUGCAGUUCUUUUGUAUUUACUUAUUACCGUGAGGUGUAUUAUGAAUAACACCUUAAAUUGACACCUAUAAAAAAAUGACUAAUGACUCAUCUAAGAUUAGCAAGGAGGCUGUCAUGUGCCUCAUUUGGGUGUGUGUUUUGAAUUUAUCCACUUAUUAGUUAACCAGGUAAUAUUUCGUUACCCGAUAAUUAAUAUAUUACCCGUAUAAUUCAAAAUUUAUCUCAAUUUAAUAAAAUACUACUAUCUUUUAACAAACUUUGUACACCUUACUAUCAUGGUCAAGUGGUACCUUAUAUGGUACUAGUCCAUAAAUAUCGGGUAUUUCUAACGACCCGACCAGUCGUUUUGAGCCUUUGUACUUUGGUUUCCAGUUCUCAGGCAUGACUUGUCCCAUGUUAUGCAUUAUGACAGAUGUGGAUUGUUGGUUUUGAUUUUCAGAAAAAUCGGAAUGAGUGUGAAAGAGUAGUCUUAGUUGAAAGCGUUGAAUUUGAAGUGUUGUACCAAGAGUUGACUUGUGUGUAUACGAGCUCGGAUCGGAGUUUCUAUAAUUUGGUUAGAUUCUUCGGGUGAUUUUGACUUACGGGCGUGAUCGGAAUUUGUUUUGCAGGUCCGGUAUGGAAUUUGGCUUGAAUUGGCAAAGUUAGUAUUUUUGCGAAUUUCGGUUGGUAGGCGAGCUUUUUAUCUGUGGGUCGGAAUGGAAUUCUGAGAAUUUCAAUAGCUUCUUUAUGUGAUUUUGGAUGUGUGUGCAAAAUUUUCAUUUAUUCGGAGGCCAUUUGGCUGGCCUUUUGAUCGAAUGUAUAUUUCGGAAGUUUUAGAAGAAACUUAGGCUUGAAUCUGAUUAGAAUUGAUGAUUUUAGUUUUUUUUUGAUGUGUUUUGAUGAUUGAGACAAGUUUGUAUGAUGUUUUAGGAUAUGUUGGUGCUUUUGGUUGAGGUCCCAGGGGCCUCGGGCUGAUUUCGGAUGGUCAAUCGGACCAAUUUCGGCCUUUGAGAGUUGCAGGUUUUUCCAGCUAUUUGUUGUAGAGAUUUUGUUCAAUGCGUUUGUGUUCAAGAGGUUGCGAUCGUAGAGGUUUAUCAGGUAAUGCAUCGCGAUCGCAUUGGUCCAUAUGCCAUUGCAUAGUAGAAAUUGGGGUCCAGCUGAGUUGCUCUCUGCGUUUGCAUUUGGGAGGCCGUGAUCGCAUUGUUCUGGGAAGUUACUCAUUAUGUUCGCAUGAGAUAGGCCGAAUUCGCAUAGACCAUUUUUGAGGUCGUGGAAUAUUGUGAUUCGUGAUCGCAAGUCUUGGGCCGCGAUCGCAUAGAAGGUUUUACUAUAGCUAGGUAGAAUAUUUUAAGUCAUCUUGUUCGCGUUUUUGGGUCUAUUUUAACCAAUGGCUGCCCGUUUUUGGAGAUUCUUGGAGGAAAUGAAAGAGGGAUUCAAGAGGAGUCGACUUGAGGUAAGAAUAUUGGUCUCAAUACUCUAUUAUAUUGUGAAAAUGGUCGAGAAAUUCAUGGAUAUUCUAAAUGGGAAGAACUAGGGCUUGGGAUUUUGAGAUUUUAUAUUGUGGAUUUGAUGGAUCAUUUCAACUCCAAUUUUGGUAUUCUUGAUAUGUAUGAACUCGGGACGAGAUGAGGAAUCUGAUUAUGUAAAAGUUUUUGAGUUUUCGAGAAGUGUUCCUUGGGCGUGGAUUUUGGUAAUUUUGGGCUUUGUGCCUGUUAUUGAUUAUUUUUUAUUGGGUUUUGUUCCCUUAGCAUAUUGUGAAAUAUUUGUUGUGAUUUUGGUUAGAUUCGACGCACGUGGAGGUCAGUUUGAGGGGCAAAGGCGUCCCGAGCUCGAGAUUUUGCCGGUUCGAGGUGAGUAAUGCUUAUAAAUGAUAUCCCGAUGAUUUGAAACUACGGACUGCACAUCGUAGUGCUAUAUUUAGGUGAGACACGUGCUCAAUGACGAGCGCAGGGUCAUUUACUAUUGGGAGAUUGCGACUUAGUCCAUCCCGAUUGAUAUUUACCGCGUAUUUGACAAAUACUUCUUGUUUUUUACUAUGACUUGGGGUUAUUUCCAUACUUGGGCUUCAUACCGACUAUUUGAAGUACUUUGUGAACUCUCAUCACUGUUUCCUCACUAAUUGAAAUAAUAUUUGAACCCAGUCCCACUUGAAUUACACUAUUUCAUGAAAUGAGCUAUACUUUUACUUAACUUGAAAUUUAAAUGAUAUUUGAACUGAUGUUUGAGCUGAGCACUAUUAUUUUACUGUUGCCCAAAGGGCUUAUGAUUAUUUUCUGGACUGAUUGAGACGGAGGGCCAUAUGUUAGGAUAUGUUAAGUGAUGUGAGGAGGCUUUUAGGCCUCGAGUGAUAUGUGAGGAGGCUUUCAGCCCUCGAGUGUAUUCUGAGAAGGCUCUCAGGCCUCAUGUUGAUAUGUACAGGCUUUCAGACCUUAUGAUGAUAUAGAGCUUGGGCUGUAGGAGCCCCUCCGGAGUCUGCACCCCCAUAGUGAGCGCGAGUACCCAUGUUCUUUGAAACGGUAGUAACAAUGACAGUGUUUAAUGCAAUUUGGUCAGGUAACAAUCACUGACCAGGAAUAACACCGUGCUAUCGGGUAACAUUGGCUGACCAAGAACUAAUUUGUGCCCGAGGGCUGGUACUAUUCUAUGUGAUUGCCCGAGGGGCGAUUUUAUGUGUUCAUUUUGCAUACUUACUUGUCUUUUACUUUGUAGUAUUUGUGCCCGAGGGGUGGAUUUCUAUGCAUAGCGGCACUAAUUGUUUUUGAAAUUAUUCUGCAACUAUUGAAAAGAUCAUUUUCAAAAGAGGUUUAAAACUGAGCCAAGAUUUGUUUUUCUAAAGAUUCCGCAGUUUCACUGAUUCUCCUCAGAGAGUUUUAUACUGCUUCUAUAUAGCAUGAUGGUUGGUUAUACAUGUUUUCUUACUGCUUAGUUAUUAUUUACCUUUAUUACUCACUGAGUUAGAGUACUCACUUUACUCCGUGCACCUCGUAUGUCGAGACAGGUAUUUGUUCACCUGGUAGCGGGUUUUGAGCUGAUUGAAGAUUUGCUAUCAUAGCUGAGCAAGGUGACCGCCAGCGCCCGCGGCACCAGAUUUUCUUUCUUUUGAUUCUAAAAUCCAUUCUGUAUACUACUGUCCUUGUAGAUGUAUUUAGACUCUUUUAGAUGCUCGUGACUUGUGACACCCCGGUUUGGGCUGUGUUUGGGUUGUACUUCCGCUAAAUAAUGUUAUUAAAUCAUCAUUAAAAUUGUUUAUUCCUGUU
Molecule: long non-coding RNA, 10999 nt
Filed under: Nicotiana benthamiana
Lineage: Eukaryota; Viridiplantae; Streptophyta; Magnoliopsida; Solanales; Solanaceae
Description: long non-coding RNA (NBEN_LNC016925)
Source: RNAcentral